This 273-nucleotide ribosomal RNA is filed under the name uncultured bacterium. Its description in RNAcentral is "partial 16S ribosomal RNA". It matches the Rfam family "Archaeal small subunit ribosomal RNA", at positions 474 to 747 of the family's 1478-position model. The record is from RNAcentral.
UACCAGCACCCCGAGUAGUCGGGACGAUUAUUGGGCCUAAAGCAUCCGUAGCCUGUUCUGCAAGUCCUCCGUUAAAUCCACCCGCUUAACGGAUGGGCUGCGGGGGAUACUGCAGAGCUAGGAGGCGGGAGAGGCAAACGGUACUCAGUGGGUAGGGGUAAAAUCCAUUGAUCUACUGAAGACCACCAGUGGCGAAGGCGGUUUGCCAGAACGCGCUCGACGGUGAGGGAUGAAAGCUGGGGGAGCAAACCGGAUUAGAUACCCGAGUAGUCC